CAGAAUAAGUUUGACUAGUUUAGAGUCGCUCAACUAAAACGUACAAUAGUAGAAACGUAGUAAAACAUAGCAAAAAUCAAAUUAUUUUUAUUUUGAAUUUUGAUUUCUAAAACUUUCACGUAUCAACUUUACAGAAAUAUCAAUUAAAUCCAACAGAUUGAGCUUGGUGCAGAAUCGCCACAAAAAUGGCUGGAUUGGAAGAACUGAGGAAGAAGCUGACACCAUUGUUCGAUUCCGAAAAGGGCUUUUCUUCAUCCUCAACCUUUGACCCAUCCAAUUCUUACACGCUGUCGGACGGUGGAACAGUGAACUUGUUGAGCCAAUCGUAUGGUGUGUACAACAUCAAUGAGCUCGGAUUGCAGAAGUGCACGGCUUCGGCGGCUGUAGAGGACGUGAGCUCCGAGAGUGAGAAGACGUAUCGAUGUGCCUCUCAUGAGAUGAGGGUAUUUGGAGCGAUAGGGAAUGGUGCCAGUAGUGUUGUUCAAAGGGCUAUUCAUAUUCCGACUCAUCGGAUUUUAGCCCUAAAGAAGAUCAAUAUUUUUGAAAAGGAGAAAAGGCAACAGCUUUUGACAGAAAUCAGGACACUGUGUGAAGCACCUUGUUAUGAAGGUCUUGUGGAAUUCCAUGGUGCGUUUUAUACGCCGGACUCUGGCCAAAUUAGCAUAGCUUUGGAGUAUAUGGAUGGGGGGUCUUUGGCUGAUAUCUUAAAGCUGAGAAAGAAAAUUCCUGAACCUGUUCUUUCCUCUAUGUUUCAAAAACUUUUACAUGGAUUGAGCUACUUACAUGGGGUUAGGCAUCUAGUUCACAGAGAUAUAAAGCCUGCAAAUUUGCUUGUGAAUCUUAAGGGGGAGCCAAAAAUAACUGAUUUUGGAAUUAGUGCUGGUUUGGAGAAUUCGGUGGCAAUGUGUGCCACUUUUGUUGGGACGGUUACUUACAUGUCGCCUGAGCGAAUUAGAAAUGACAACUAUUCUUACCCAGCUGAUAUUUGGAGCCUUGGUCUUGCUCUCUUUGAAUGUGGGACUGGAGAAUUCCCAUAUACAGCUACUGAAGGACCUGUUAACCUUAUGUUGCAGAUAUUGGAGGAUCCGUCCCCAUCACCUUCUAAACAUAAUUUUUCUCCAGAGUUCUGUUCGUUUAUUGAAGCCUGUUUACAGAAGGAUGCAGAUGCUAGGCCAACAGCAGAGCAGCUACUCUCACACCCAUUCAUUAUGAAGUACAAAGACACCCAAGUAGACUUGGCAGAAUUUGUAAAAAGCAUGUUUGAUCCAACACAAAAGAUGAAGGACUUGGCAGAUAUGCUGACAAUACAUUAUUACCAACUUUUUGAUGGACCUGAUGAGCUCUGGCAGCAUUCAAAGACCUUAUUUAACGACGAUUCAGUUUUCAGUUUCUCCGGAAAGCAAUCAGUUGGUGGAAAUGAAAUCUUUGAUACUCUAUCAAGCAUAAGAAGUACAUUAGCUGGUGACUGGCCUUCUGAAAGACUUGUACAUGUUGUGGAAAAACUUCAAUGUCGUGCUUAUGGUCAGGAUGGAGUUGCAAUAAGGAUAUCAGGAUCCUUCAUUGUUGGGAAUCAAUUCCUUAUAUGUGGAGAUGGCUUACAACCAGAAGGCUUGCCGAGUUUUAAAGAUCUCUCUAUCGAUCUUUCUAGUAGGAGAAUGGGCACAUUUCGUGAGCAGUUCAUCAUGGGACCAAGCAGUAUUAUUGGCCGCUACUUCAUAUCAAAACAGGAGCUAUAUAUUAUGCAGUGAAGGGCUAAAGUAUAUUGGGAUGAAUGCUAAGUUUAUUGCACUCUUCUUUCUCGGAAUUUAAUGCAAAUACUUUUAACUAAACAAACUCUGCUCGAUGCAUUUGCAUAAUUUUCUUCACUUCAAAGCCUUACAAUCACAAUUACUGGGUAAUGGGAUAUUCCAAUCGGGAAGGCACUGAGUUCAAUCCAUCAGUGAUAUUUGUCCAUUUCCACUUGUUAAAAUUUACUCGGUCUGUACAGCUAUAGUUGCACGCAUGUACAGUCGAUAAGCCAUGCCCAUUUUUGCUGGGGCAUUGCUAAUGUUGAAUUGUAACAUUUAUUUUAAACUUCUUUGCUAAAAGAUUGUAAUCAUAGUUAUAAAUGUGUUAAACUUAAAACCAAUUGACUACAGUGAUCCAAUAUGUGACACAAGCUGAACUAUUACACUUUGUCUUGAAAUGUGAAUAUCUUACAUUCUCUGAAAAA
Molecule: RNA transcript, 2212 nt
Organism: Humulus lupulus (European hop)
Lineage: Eukaryota; Viridiplantae; Streptophyta; Magnoliopsida; Rosales; Cannabaceae
Gene name: mitogen-activated protein kinase kinase 3
Exons: 10
Source: RefSeq, a predicted model, not a curated record